Non-coding RNA from Providencia rustigianii DSM 4541, 120 nucleotides. Lineage: Bacteria; Pseudomonadati; Pseudomonadota; Gammaproteobacteria; Enterobacterales; Morganellaceae. The record is from Rfam.
AAUGAAUUUAAAUUUUGUUUUCUUUUUCUUCUUUAGCCACUCUUAUUAAGGGGCUUUUGUCGUUCGAGAAAAAAAAGAAGACAAAAUUUUAAAGCCCCCUCUUUUGGGGGCUUUUUUUAU